UGGGGAGCCGGCCGGGGUAGGGGAAUUUUUUUUAUUUUUUUUUUCAAUUCCCAUGGGAAUUGAAUUUUUAAUUAAAAAGGAGUCACUUGUAUAAUUAAUGAACAAUUUAUUGAAAAGAAUUGUAAUUACAAAUUGAAUACCAAUAAAAAGAGAACAACCACUGCAUACUUAUUUAAAUAAUAACAAUAGAAGAAAACAGAACAUGGCACAAAGAGAACAAUUAACAUUGUGUUUAACACAAGUGAAUAAGCACAAGUGAAAACACAACAUUAAUAACUUGUUUUCCCGCGAAUUAACAUUAAAAAGUUAAUUCUUGAGGAAAUAAGAGAACCUGGUCUUUUCAAGACAAAUGUUUAUACUUCAAAAUAAAUAUUGUAAAACAACUCUAACGUCGUACUCGGUAACGAUAAACUUUACACGAGUUUGACUGAGAAAUCAAAAGCGUAACACCAGGUUGUUUUACAAAGAAAAUAUAUGGCUCAAAGACAAAAGUAUAAAUCGAACAUGCUUUUACUUUUUUGAAUACGGACAAACUCUUUUUGGUGAAGUGACCAAAAUUUUCGCUUGAGUAUGGAAAAUAAUGAUUUUAUCGCAAUGUUUAGAUGCUAAGUGAGUCCAUUCGUUGUAAUGCGAGAUCAGUUGUCAAGACAUUGUCGUUGACAACAAAAUUCCACAUUGCUUGAAGCAAAUUAAAUUCCUCAAAGUGCCUUAACAUUUUGACAAUGCAUUGACAGCAUAUUUCAUUAAAUUCAGAAAUGAUAUUUUUAAACAUCGAAACAUUACGACUAGAUCAUUGGUUCCAUACUCAAUUGAACAUAUAUAAGAACAUUUCUUUCAAGUGCCAAAUCAAGAAAUAUUUAAAAAUUUGAAACUAUUCCGCUGUCUUUCGGAGCCAUAUACCUAGUUUUUAACCUGACAACUUUGAAUUGUUUGUAUAUAAUGUUAAUACUAAUUAAGUGAUGAAAAUGCAGUUCAACAAAUUAAAAGAAUGUUAUUUCUCCAAUUCUGAUUGAUUUUUCC
Paramuricea clavata is the source of this 1020-nucleotide non-coding RNA. NCBI's taxonomy places the organism in Eukaryota, Metazoa, Cnidaria, Anthozoa, Malacalcyonacea, Plexauridae. The record is from the annotation of a GenBank genome assembly.